GACGAACGCUGGCGGCGUGCUUAACACAUGCAAGUCGAGCGGUAAGGCCCUUCGGGGGUACGCGAGCGGCGAACGGGUGAGUAACACGUGGGUGACCUGCCCUCAGCUUUGGGAUAAGCCUGGGAAACCGGGUCUAAUACUGGAUAUGACUCCAUGACGCAUGUUGUGGGGUGAAAGCCUUGUGCGGCUGAGGAUGGGCCCGCGGCCUAUCAGCUUGUUGGUGGGGUGANGGCCUACCAAGGCGACGACGGGUAGCCGGCCUGAGAGGGCGACCGGCCACACUGGGACUGAGACACGGCCCAGACUCCUACGGGAGGCAGCAGUGGGGAAUCUUGCGCAAUGGGCGAAAGCCUGACGCAGCGACGCCGCGUG
Molecule: ribosomal RNA, 372 nt
Filed under: uncultured bacterium
Lineage: Bacteria
Description: bacterial SSU rRNA
Rfam family: Bacterial small subunit ribosomal RNA
Source: RNAcentral